RNAcentral lists this ribosomal RNA (684 nucleotides) under uncultured archaeon. RNAcentral's name for it is "bacterial SSU rRNA". It matches the Rfam family "Archaeal small subunit ribosomal RNA", at positions 102 to 786 of the family's 1478-position model. The record is from RNAcentral.
GGAUAACCUACCCUUAGGACUGGGAUAACCCUGGGAAACUGGGGAUAAUACUAGAUAGGCAAUUUUUCCUGGAAUGGUUUUUUGUUUAAAUGUUUUUUCGCCUAAGGAUGGGUCUGCGGCCGAUUAGGUAGUUGGUUAGGUAACGGCUUACCAAGCCAUUGAUCGGUACGGGUUGUGAGAGCAAGAGCCCGGAGAUGGAACCUGAGACAAGGUUCCAGGCCCUACGGGGUGCAGCAGGCGCGAAACCUCCGCAAUGUGAGAAAUCGCGACGGGGGGAUCCCAAGUGCCAUUCUUAACGGGAUGGCUUUUCAUUAGUGUAAAGAGCUUUUGGAAUAAGGGCUGGGCAAGACCGGUGCCAGCCGCCGCGGUAACACCGGCAGCUCUAGUGGUAGCAGUUUUUAUUGGGCCUAAAGCGUCCGUAGCCGGUUUAAUAAGUCUCUGGUGAAAUCCUGUAGCUUAACUGUGGGAAUUGCUGGAGAUACUAUUAGACUUGAGACCGGGAGAGGUUAGAGGUACUCCCAGGGUAGAGGUGAAAUUCUGUAAUCCUGGGAGGACCGCCUGUUGCGAAGGCGUCUAACUGGAACGGUUCUGACGGUGAGGGACGAAAGUUAGGGGCGCGAACCGGAUUAGAUACCCGGGUAGUCCUAACUGUAAACGAUGCGGACUUGGUGUUGGGGUGGCUUU